Molecule: ribosomal RNA, 269 nt
Filed under: uncultured bacterium
Lineage: Bacteria
Description: partial 16S ribosomal RNA
Rfam family: Bacterial small subunit ribosomal RNA
Source: RNAcentral
AACGAACGCUGGCGGCGCGCCUAAUACAUGCAAGUCGAGCGAGAAGACGUAGCAAUACGUUUGUAAAGCGGCGAACGGGUGAGGAAUACAUGGGUAACCUACCCUCGAGUGGGGAAUAACUAGCCGAAAGGUUAGCUAAUACCGCGUACGCUCCUUGGACUUCGGUUCAGGGAGGAAAGCGAUACCGUGGGGUAUCGCGGCUCUUGGAUGGGCUCAUGUCCUAUCAGCUUGUUGGUGAGGUAACGGCUCACCAAGGCUUCGACGGGUAG